RNAcentral lists this unclassified non-coding RNA (21 nucleotides) under Mus musculus (house mouse). RNAcentral describes it as "oocyte_clustered_small_RNA906". Lineage: Eukaryota; Metazoa; Chordata; Mammalia; Rodentia; Muridae. The record is from RNAcentral.
GAAUAUCCUGUUUGUUGUUGU